This 312-nucleotide ribosomal RNA is filed under the name uncultured Alphaproteobacteria bacterium. Its description in RNAcentral is "bacterial SSU rRNA". It matches the Rfam family "Bacterial small subunit ribosomal RNA", at positions 1066 to 1377 of the family's 1533-position model. The record is from RNAcentral. Lineage: Bacteria; Pseudomonadati; Pseudomonadota; Alphaproteobacteria.
CGGCGGAGAUGUUGGGUUAGUCCCGCAACGAGCGCACCCACGUCCUCAGCUUGCCAUCAUUCAUGUUGGGCACUCUGGGGAGACUGCCGGUGAUAAGCCGCGAGGAAGGUGUGGAUGACGUCAAGUCCUCAUGGCCCUUACGGGCUGGGCUACACACGUGCUACAAUGGCGGUGACAGAGGGACGCCAACCCGCAAGGGUGCGCCAAUCUCGAAAAGCCGUCUCAGUUCGGAUUGCACUCUGCAACUCGAGUGCAUGAAGUUGGAAUCGCUAGUAAUCGUGGAUCAGCACGCCACGGUGAAUACGUUCCCGG